RNAcentral lists this long non-coding RNA (24086 nucleotides) under Vitis vinifera (wine grape). RNAcentral's name for it is "long non-coding RNA (VVIN_LNC001254)". The record is from RNAcentral. Lineage: Eukaryota; Viridiplantae; Streptophyta; Magnoliopsida; Vitales; Vitaceae.
UCAACAAAACCUGAAUCCAGUUUGCACAUAUGGCACAUUAACUUUAUUACAAGAUUAAACUGGCCGGAUAAUUGAUAAUUGUCAUUGGCCUUUUGAUUCAGAGAUGGACUGUAAUGGGCUUGUAGUCGAAAACAAUGACUUUCUCCAGGUGGGGCAGGAACAGAUUUGCGAAUUCGACAUGGGCUGGAUGAGAUACAUACUCUGCAAUGCCUUCCACACUCUCGAAGGUUGACUCGAAGACAUGAGUGAAACCUUGAUGCAUGUUCUCAAUGCUCACAUCCUUGCCCCUGUUACAUUACAGAAGAUGUCACAAGUUUUAGAGAUUUAAGGCAUGAUGGUAACAGGCAGCAUAACCAUUUCGCCAGGCACAACUCAAAGACAUCAGACUCAAACAUGAACCAUCGUAAAUUUCUUCACUUAUAUGAAAACAGAAAUGUUAGAAAGAGAUCUAUUGGUUCAACUGAAAUUGUUCUGAGCAACUGAUGCCUCAUUAUCAGAUGAGUUCAAGGCAUCUGCUUGGCAAAUUAAUAUUGAAGUUCACUGAGUCAUCAUUAAGGCUUCUUGUUCAUUAUGAAAAUGGAAGCAGUCUUAAGUGGUGUUUGUUUUUUUACUUAAUUCUAAAUAGAACUUUAAUACUUAAUAGUGUUAAAUAUUAAGUUGUUUGUUUUUGUAGUAUUUUAUUUUUAUUAAGUAUUAAAAAGUAAAAAAAAAAUCAAUAUGUUAUUUUUUCUAUUUAGAAAAAGCUAUAUAUUUUAAUUUUUUCUAUUUAGUAAAAAGUUUAUAAUAAAUCAUGAAAAAGUAAGAAAACAAACAACUUAAACUCUGAAAACAAAUUACUUUCAGCAAAAAAAUAAAAAAAACAAACACCACCUCAAUUCUUAUACAAAAAGCAUAUACCGGAGAAUUUCAUCAUUCAUGUAAGAAAACCUAUGAAAAUCCAAGCAUGUUAUGCAGAUGACCUACUAAGAGUGCGGUUGACAAUAUUUUUAUUCUAAGCAUUUUUAUUAAAGUUUUUUCUUUAGAAAUGUUUUUGAGAGAAUCACUUAUCAAGUGUUUUUCCAAGAAAUACUACAAGCAAUUUUUCAAUUUUGUAAAAAUGUUUUCUAUGUUGUAAAUUAAGGGAAAUGAAUGACCACAUUGAUGGUCAUUAUGAACUCCAUUUACUCAUCUUUAAGAUGAGUAAUGGGAGUUCAUAAUGUGAAGCCUAUAAAAGGCUUCUUACCCCUCCCAUGUAAUAGCAUCCCGAGAAAGAAAGAAAGCUCUUCCUCUCAUUCUCUCUCUCUCUCUCUUUCACUUUCUCAAUUCUCUUAUUUGAUUCCUUCUUCCAUAUUAUAUAUCAAAGUAAGAUAUAUUUUAUCUCUAUUACUUUGAUUUGCAUUAUAUUUGUCCUUGUUUUACAACACGUUAUCAGCACGAAUUGCUCUGAAGGUAAUUCUCGUAUCUUCACUUAAAGUUAUUUAUAUAGAAUAAAAUUUUACAUAUUUAUAUUAUUGUUGAUUUGUUUUGUUACAUAUUGUUAAAAGUUGUAAACAAAUUAUUUGAUUUUGUUUAUAAUCAAAGUUAUACCAAUGCUAUCAAGUUAUUAUAACUGAUUUUAAUAAUAUUGUUUUGUCAUAUAUAUAUGAAGUUAUUUGACAAUGUCGAAUAUCACAAAACUCGAAUUUGUGGCACUUGACAUUUCGGGAAAGAACUAUCUAUCUUGGAUCCUUGAUGCUGAAUUACAUCUUGAUGCAAUGAACCUUGGAGCUACGAUCAAACAAGGAAAUCAAGCAUCCCUGCAGGAUCGCGCAAAAGCAUUGAUUUUCCUUCGUCAUCACCUCCAUGAAGGUUUAAAAAAUGAGUAUCUUACGGUAAAGGACCCUUUUACUCUAUGGAGUAAUUUGAAGGAAAGAUGACCACCAGAAAACUGUGAUUCUCCCAAAAGCUCGAUAUGAUUGGAUGCACCUAAGGUUGCAAGAUUUUAAAACUGUUAGUGAAUACAACUCUGCACUUUUCAAAAUUAGCUCUCAAUUAAAGUUGUGUGGAGAAAAAAUNNNNNNNNNNNNNNNNNNNNNNNNNNNNNNNNNNNNNNNNNNNNNNNNNNNNNNNNNNNNNNNNNNNNNNNNNNNNNNNNNNNNNNNNNNNNNNNNNNNNAUAUUGCGUUAUCUUCGCGGAACUACUGAUAUGGGUUUAUUUUACUCAAGGGAAUCAAAGCAACAAUUGCUUGGAUAUGCAGAUGCAGGAUAUCUUUCAGAUCCACAUAAAGGCAGGUCACAAACAGGGUAUGUGUUUAAUUGCAAUGGUACUGCUAUUUCAUGGAGAUCUGUCAAACAAACAAUGGUAGCUACAUCAUCAAAUCAUUCAGAAAUACUGGCAAUUCAUGAAGCAAGUCGUGAAUGUAUAUGGCUAAGAUCUAUGAUCCAGCAUAUUCGGGAAUCAUGUGGACUCUCCUCUAUCAAAGGUGGCCCGACAACAUUAUUUGAAGAUAAUGCUGCAUGCAUUGCACAAAUAACAGGGGGUUAUAUUAAAGGAGAUAGAACUAAACACAUUUCACCAAAAUUCUUUUAUACACAUGAACUCCAGAAGAGUGGUGAAAUUGAUGUGCAACAAAUACGCUCAAUUGAUAAUCUAGCAGAUUUAUUCACAAAAUCAUUGCCAACCUCAACAUUCAAGAAGUUAAUACACAGGAUUGGAAUGCGUCAACUCAAGGAUAUCGACAUGAGGGAGAGUAUGCUUGUAAAAGGGUGUUAGUGUACUGUACUCUUUUUUUUUUUCCUUCGUCCAGGUUUUGUCCUACUGGGUUUUACUGGCAAGGUUUUUAACGAGGCAGUCCUAAUAUACCAAGAAAAGAAUAUUGUACUCUUUUUCCUUCGCUAGGUUUUUCCUAUAGGGUUUUUUACUGGCAAGGUUUUAAUGAGGCAUAUUCUUUUAAUAUGGUGGUCAUCCAAGGGGGAGUGUUGUAAAUUAAGGGAAAUGAAUGACCACAUUGAUGGUCAUUAUGAACUCCAUUUACUCAUCUUUAAGAUGAGUAAUGGGAGUUCAUAAUGUGAAGCCUAUAAAAGGCUUCUUACCCCUCCCAUGUAAUAGCAUCCCGAGAAAGAAAGAAAGCUCUUCCUCUCAUUCUCUCUCUCUCUCUCUUUCACUUUCUCAAUUCUCUUAUUUGAUUCCUUCUUCCAUAUUAUAUAUCAAAGUAAGAUAUAUUUUAUCUCUAUUACUUUGAUUUGCAUUAUAUUUGUCCUUGUUUUACAACAUUCUAAAUUUUGUUAAAUACUUUAUUUUUUUUCCAAAAGUGCUUUUUAAACCUAGUAUUUUCUAAAAAUAUGGUCAAACAGGUUCUAAAUCGUGUUAGACACAGACUCUAAUUCCAUCUAGGUGCUCAAAGGGCAUCUUUCACAUAAAUGAAGCCACAAAAGAAAGAGUGACUUCUAAUCAAACUUUAAGAUAAACUUUCACAUCAAACUUAGAAGUACCGAAACUAUGUUUUGGUAACCUGGUUUUAGUUGUUGUGAAUCUAAACAUGUACAUGAGGUUUUGAAAGUCUUGACAUAAUUGCUAAGAAAGCGGGCACCAUCUUGGUGAGAGUUCUCACGACGUGCUUACUAACUUUAAAAAAAAUCACUUUCAGAAAAAAGUCCUGCAAGAAGCAUAUAUUGUCAAGCUAAAAGAGGAAUAUUUUGGUUCUAGCUACAUGCCAAAGCACUAAAUUAUCUUCACUUAUUUUCCUUUUAGGCAUGCUUCAAUUACAACUAAAAAGCAUUCUAUAGACAACUGAUAUUUCACCUGUGAAGUUUUUUCAACACAUGAUAUGAUAAUUGUUUGAAAAUUUGGAACUUUCUUCUCAAUAUAGGACCAGAUGUUCCUGAACGUCUAUAAAAUUUUAAAAAUAUGUAUAUACAAAGAAGCACCAACAAUAAUUAUCAAAUAAUUAUUGUAGGACCAACAUAUGCUAGUGUAGUUGGUAAGUAGGACCGACAGGCAUAGGCACAAAAACUGGGGUGUGAGAGUUUGGCAGUGCAAUACUUUUGUUUCAGUGAGAAUCUGAUUUGUAAACCUUUAUUAACUAAAUGAAAGAUGAUGUGCAUGAAAUCAUGUAGCUUACUUGGUCUAUUUCUAGAUACUAGCUACCAAAGCAUUUUUUUUUUUUUUUUUUUUACAUCAGAUCUACUUCCUUUCACUUCAAUUAUAACACCCAAAAUCGAAUACGACAAUAAAAAAAAGUUAAACGCUCAGUUUGGAGCAUUUGAAGAACAAGUAUUAAGUCAAACCAUCCAAUUUUCAUACUCUUGGCCUAUAGCAUCCCAAGAUUUUUCUUCACUAUCAAAAACAACUAAAAAGAAUUCCUUAAGGCACUUCGAAUUGAAAUUACCAAGGUUUCAAAAUUAAAAAACAUCCUGCCCAAAAAAGGCAUCCACCUGGAACCUUUUAUAACAAAAUGAAAUUAUCAUAAUCAUUCCAUCUUCCUAGUUUGUAUACUAUUGCAGCAAUGAAACAAACAUCCCAAGUGGCAAAGAAGCCCUCUAACUACAAACACUACGUUUUACUUACCUAACCAAAAUAAUUGAAGUACGUAAAUUCUACCAAAAAAUUAAAAAGCAAUAGCAUGAUAAAAUUAUUGUAUUUGUCAAAUGAUUCAAACUGAAAAGUAAUAGCAACUUCAAGAUCCAACGACAAAGCACAACAUAAAUUUGAAAUUGUUUACUAUUAAUCAAAAACUCCUAAAAAUUAAAUACCCUUUUGGGUUGAUUUGCUAUUGGCAGUCAAAGAAUUAUUUCAUUAAUAAUUCUCUCAUGAGAAGCAACAGCCCCUGAAGUUAACAGCAAAGUAACUCCAUCAACCAAUAUAUUCAGUCAAUAAUUCAAAAUUUUAACUUAAAAGAAACUAAGCUCGGAAUUGAAAAGAGAUGGGAUAUUAGUGACCAAAUAAUCACAUUAUAAUUAAACACAUUUAUAAUAUGUCAAACAUACUACUAGAUGAAUACAAACAAAACCAAAUACUUGUGUUAUAAUUAAAUAUAUUAAUAAUGUUUUCAUGCAUACCACUAGGUGAAUAUAAACCAAAAGUCAUACAUAUAAAAACGCCAAGAUAGUAAUAGCAACGUGGAAAACAACACCACAAGUAACAAUAACAACAAGAGCAACCACUCCUUGGACUAUAGAUGGACUCCUACAACUCAAAAUCCCUAACCGAAUCUGGAAGACGUUCACUAUUGAGAGAAUCAGAAAAAGACAUCCUAAGAUCGAGUUAAAGAUGGCAUAAAGCAUCCCCUUCCGAAUAGACUUUCUGUUGAAGUGGUUUAUAUAAACUCUUCAUUUGAUUCCGCACCAUUGACGAGUUUGAUCAUUAUCUUCAAGUCAUGAGCCACCAAUGAUGAUGUGAGAAAAACCGCAAAGGAGACGACCUCAAACAACAUCAAGCUCCUGAUUGUGCUGAUUUUGGCAUUGUAGCCAAGACAACCAUCAAUGCUAUGCAACCCUAUAAUGUUGAAAUUAACAUUCUUUUAUUUCCCUAUAUAAAUCAGUAUAAAUUAACAUAUUACUUUUAUUUUCAAAGUUAUUCAAGUAAAAUCAAGUUAGGAGUUAAGAGAUGACAUCCACUUCGCCGCCCUUGAUAGCGUUGUGAGUCUCAACUCCCUAUACGCUACCUUUUCAUUUCUGGGACUCUCAUUCACCACUAUAAGGCUGCAUAGCAUUGAUGGUCGUCUUGGCUGCGAUGCCAAUAUCAUCAUGAUCAGGAGCUUGAUGUUGUUUGAGGUUGUUUCCUUUGCGUUUUUUCUCACAUCAUCAUUGGUGGCUCAUGGCUUGAAGAUAAUGAUCAAACUUGUCAAUGCUGCGGAAUCAAAUGAAGAGUUUAUAAGCCACUUCAACAAAAAGUCUAUUCGGAAGGUGAUGCUUUGUGCCAUUUUUAGCUCCAUCUUGGGACGUCUUUUUCUGAUUCCCUCAAUAGUGUAAAUCCUCCAGAUUCGGCCAGGGAUUUUGAGUUGUAGGAGUCCAUCUACAGUCUAAGGAGUGGUUUCUCUUGUUGUUAUUGUUACUUGUGUUAUUUUUCACAUUGUUAUUACCAUCUUGGUGUUUUUACAUGUGUGACUUUUGGUUUAUAUUCACCUAGUGGUAUGUAUGAAACAUUAUUAAUGUGUUUAAUUAUAACACAUUACUUAGAGGAUGCAUCCUCAUCCCACUCGCUUGGUCAGCAUGCGAGGAAACCUCUACUCCUCCCCCAACCUCUUGCUCGUUGGACACACAGUUUCUUCUUCUCGACUCCACAAACAAAAAUCUCGACGGAGCUUCCCACCACAGUUGUAAAGAGAAGUUGGAAUUGCCCACUACCACUUGCAACGAACUAGGUAAAGAACUCCCAACAGGAUGCACCAAAAUCUUGGCCCAAUGCAGAUUAGUCAUCAGAGCUGUGUCAACAAUGACAAACCCGCCACAUUCAUCCCCAAUUUUCUUAAACACCAUCCGACUCCAAAGGUGUAAUGGGAAACCCAACACCCUCACCCACAUCUCCUUGGCACGACCCCCCUUGCCCAGACAACCAGCCUCAAGGGUCUUCCUCGCCAAGUGCGGCACUCUCUCCUUAACCCUUCAAGAACCUUUGGCAAGCACCCUUUCUGCCUCAAUAAGAAUAUCAAAAUCAAACAAGGGCAAGGUACCUCCAAAACCUGAAAUUUUCACCCCUUUUCAGAGACCAAAGAGCAGUCACAAAAGAACUGAGUGUACUUGUGAUUAAUUAUUAUACUACGGACUUUAAUUAAAUACUACUUUUCUCAUGUUAUUUCUGUGUUAGUGUUAUUCAUAUAUAUAUAGCCUCAUAUCCAUUGACUCCAUGAUUUCUACACUUACUGCUUUGUCCACUGAAGUUACAAAUCAAGACUUCUCACUAAUGUGAGGGUGAUAAUCAAGAUUAAUCUGGAUGAUCUUAAGCCUCUUUCAUGCAAAAACUUGAUUCAUGCCUUCAAAUACAAAGAUGAAAAUACAACUUUCAUCUAUUGGAUGGAAUUGAGAAUAUAAUUUCUAGAAAAAUCAUAAAAACAUAAACAAUUUUAAAAAAUCAAUAAAUAAAAACUUCCAAAAAUAAUGAGAUGGAUUAGCUGAGUUAGGACACGUGUGCGUGGGUGGAGGACAAGAAAAGAAAAGACUUUCCAAAGGAAGAUAUUGUUGUUAUAUUAUGAGAGAGAUAGAUGCAGGAUAGUGGAUCAUUUGGCCUCCCAUGCAUCUCAAUGAAGUUUAUCCAACCAUAAUAAGAAAGCAACUGCCACAUACAAGGACCACUACAACAUCUUGGAUAUCCAUCCACACUAGGUCAAUUUAUCAACUCUCACUACCUUGCUGAAACAACACAAUACUGAUAUAUAGAAUUAUUAUCAUACAAUCUCCAACAAGAAUAUUUCUAUGCAACUCUUUAUCCAAAUCACCAUAAGAUACAUGCAAACAACAAGUGUGCAUUAAGAACAAUUGAACAUUUCCAGUAAAUUAACCUGUAAACACAGUGAUGGUUUAGCACAUAGGACAGAAUUGUUGACUGUUGGAAACCCUUACCAAUAGAUUCUCAGAAGAGAAGUGCGUAAGGACUGUACAUCAUCUUAGCCAUCAUUUCUCAUUAUCAACCACCUUUAAUCAGUAAACCUAUUGAGAGCCUCAUAAAACACCCUGCAGGAAUUCAUCUAUUAGAAUCUAUAACUAAUAAUUAAGAAACUAAAUAAAAAACAUCAAACAACUGAAAAUACAUCCAAAUAAAAGAAACAUGUUAAUUUACAAUAGCUUUUAGAAAAAUUCUAGUGAUUAGAAGCAAUAAUUUUGGUGACAUAAGGCUCUAUUACCAUGAGGGAAUGCCUAAAAUGAUGGCAAUGCCUGUUCAAGCUGAUAGAGAGAUAAGUAAUAUUUGAAUUUGGACAGAAUAAGAAAUCUUUGUUUGAUCCUAUUUCAUCUCUUUUUAUUUUAAGUAACCAAAUAAAAACCAAGUAAAAGAAACAAAAAAACAAUUAGCUAGAAAUUAGAGCAUGAGACUAAUAAAAUAAAAUAAAAAUCUUCUAAUUGUUUAGUCAAAGCUUUCACAAUUCUCAAAGGCGAGACUAUUUCUUUCCCUCCAAAUGGGACCAAAAUAAGCAUAAUGGAGCAACCUUCUAAGCCUUUUUUUCUUUUCCAAUAAAGGAGCUGCACCAACUCAAGAGCAUCCCAUGACUACAUCACCCCCGGUCCAUCAAAUAGAGCAAAAAUCAAUCCCUUGAUUCUUAAUGAAGAUAAAUCAAACAUCUUGACAUACAAACACAAAUCUAGCGUCUUUUUAGCCAAUCCAAUUUCAAUUGGCAAUCUUUUUAUGAAUCAUCAUAUCAAUGAAAAGUUAGACAUACACCAAUACACACUACAACGAAUAUGGGGUUUUGCCGCAAAUUAAUUUGUGAUUAAAUAAGAGCAUCUUGUGGUAGAAGAUUAUAAGUCCAUGAGCAAAUAUUUUUAACCAUAAAAUUUAAUUUUAUAACAAAAUAAACAAUUUUUUCACAAAAAAAAUUUGUGGCAACAUAUCAUUUUUCGCCAUAAAACAAGUUUGUAGCAACAUAUAAUUUUUUUCAUGAAAAUAAUCAUGGUAAAAGGUCAAUUUUUUGUCAUAAAAAAAUUCCUGGUAAAACAUGUAUCUUAUUUAAUGAAUGGCAAUUUCUUUGGAAUAAAAACUUAAGAGACUAUUUGGUAAAGGAAAGCUAGUUUCUCGGAACCAGAUAUAUGCAUAUAUGUGUAUAUACAUAUUCAUUUUAGAGAUGUUAUGACACUAAAAGUAAGGACUGAGUCAGGACGGAACAGGGAAUAACAUGACAUUGAUGAAAUACUUCUAAAACCCAAUUGAAGUCAUUAUCUACAAAUAUUCUUUUCUUCAAAUCAUUGCCACUGGAAAAAAUUGCUGAAUGCUUAGUCUUAGUAAGUCAGCCUGAGAUUCCUUUAAUAAAUGCAUCCUUAUUAAUUUCAGAGUUCAAAAUUUCGAAUCAAUCCCUGUUGAACUGAGAAAUUUCAAGAGAAAUCUUGGUUUAAAUCAAUCUUACCAAUGCUGAUAAUAGCAUCAAGAAGCAAGCCGAGCAGAGGCAGAAAAACUCCACCAGUGAUUUUAGGACUAACAACUUCCACCAGAACUUCCAGGAAUUUUUUUUUUUAUGAUAUAUUUAAUAUUCAUGUUCUUUCUUUCAUCAUUUUAAUAUUGAAUACUGAUUUUAUCAUUCCUAUUUCUUGUCAAACUUGCAAUCUUUGAUACUGACACCUCUCCUUUCUCAUUGGGGGGAAAAGAUUACCAUAGUCCCAUAUGAUGAACUACUAGUGAUCACUAAACAUUCACAUGUGUUUGCUAUUAACUUGCAGGUCCAAAAUCCAACGAACUCCAGAUUAUAGUUUCAUUACUUAAAUUCAGGAAUUUGACACAUGGAUCAAAAAUCCUAGCUGUGGAGACAAAACUCCCAUUAAGUUGAGUUUCUUUCUUUUGAGUAAACAAGUUCAGAGAAUAUAGAAAACUCAGAAUGAAAAGAUCAUUAAGAAUUCAUAUAUGAAACUAAUGAAGAUUGAAAAUAAGUUCUGGAACAUCCGAAUGCAAUUUCCAUUAAUUACAAAUCUCAUAAAAAUAUGUACAAAUUUCAAACUUGGUGUGAUGGUUUAUAUUUUUUUCAUGCCACAAAUUUCAAAUCUUGUUUAUUAGAAUAUAUCCAUUAAUUACAAAUUUAAGAAAAACAGUAUAAAUUUAUUCAUAGUUGGCAUCCUAAAAUUAGGUUCAGACAUGUACUUAUUAAACUCAAACUUGAGGUUUUGAUAUUAAUUCUAAAAAAGAAUGCAUAACACAAUGUAGUUUUUUUCUCUUUUUAUUUCUAUUUUAAUUUUGUUAUUUAGAAAUGCAUGCAUAUAUUCUCAUCACAGAACUAGAAGAAAAAUUUACUGCAUAAAUCAAAAUAAAGCUUUUACAAAAACAACAAAUUCCAAGUUUUUUUAAGUCAUAAAUUAUUUAAACAAAAUUAACCACUAUGGUACAGAAGCUUUUAUCCAGCUUAAAAAAGCUUGGGAAAAUUGUGUUUUCAGCCCACUUUUCUGCCACCUUUGGGUGAGAGACACGUAGCAAAGGGGGGCAUUCUUUGCAUUGUGGUGGUUAGUGGGGCUGUUGAGGGAGAACUUAUUUCGGGUUUGGUAGCAUUAGAAAGGAAAGGGAAAAGCUUGAGCAGCGAGAAAGCUUGGAGGAAGAAGCCAAAAAGGGAGGAGGAGCUGAGGAGUUUUUGUUGGUCUUAGCAGAAGAGAGUACGGGAAGCCAAGCAAAUUGUUACUUGUGAGGAGGGUUAUCAGGUAAAGAUUCAUAUGGGUCUCAUAUUUCACAUUUUCCCACUGCUUUUACUUUCUUUCUGCUGAUUUCUGGGCCCCAUGUGUUGUUUGUGUGCGGACAUUAACAGGCACAUGAUUAUUUUGUAGAAAUUUGAGAUUGCCUGCAUAACUUUUGGGUUGCUCCCACCUUUUUGCACUCUUCCUAACCUCGUGUGUUCUCCCACCAUAACUUACCGGCGAAGACUGAAGAUCCUACUACCACAUGCAAGAUCCUAGGACCCCUAAUGAGAUGGAAUGACCCCUAAUGGUUGGGUCUGGCUGCACUUGUUUUCAAAUUCCACAUUCAUUAAAAACAGAGGGAAAGGAGAUCAGGAUAGAUCAUUAUAGACCAGUGUACCAACUCCCCAUUCAUUUGAGGGAAAACUAAAUAUUAUUCCAUUUGAAUAGAAGUUUAGACCUACACUUGUAGGUUCUGGCUUGCUUCAUAUACUAAAGGAUGAACUAGUUCUGACCAUUUAUAAUGAUACCAUCAGGCAAGGGAAGGGGUCUCCUCAAGUCCAAAGUUUGCUGUAAUGUCUACCAACAUUAUGACACACAAUGGAACAAAUUAGGAGCAUGACAUGAAGGUUGAAUCAUAACAUACAUAAGCAUCUUUGUCCAAAUUGCAUCUCUAGCACAUCAGCUUUUCUUUUUAGUGUGAUGAAGGAGGGAGCCAACUGACCUGAUAUAGUUUCCUGUCAAAGGUGAGUCUGAUAGACAUUUUUCAAGCCAAUAGAAAGAGAGUAGGCAUAGUUUCUUGUCCAAAAUGAGAAAAGAUUAGUUUGAUGGACAUUUUUAACAGCAAAUAGAAACAAACCAAGUACUGCAGCCCUUUCACAUAAAAUUAGGACAUUUGCAUAUUGUAAAUAAUAAGAAAAAAACAUAUGAAGCUAGGCACAAGAACUGAGGCUUCUGGUGUUGGUCGGAUCAUAACAUCCUAUCGCAUUUGUAGAAAUGUAAGAAUAAGAAAACCAACUCUUUAGUAGAUGCAAAGUGACAAUGAGAUGGGGACGUAGGAUGAUAAAAAGUUAUACACUCAUCAGUUUGGAGCGCUUUAAGACAUGCAUCUUAAGAUACAUUCUAAUACCAAACUAAAAUUCUCAAAUAAGAAAACUAAAACGUAUGCUUUUCAUAAUCUCUUUAAAUAGUCUCUGCUUUUCUCUCUAUAAAUAUCAAGAACAGAUCAUCAUCAUCAAUGGCAGUAAACAAGUUUGCAACGAAACACCAACAAGAUCAUGCUUAUUCUCAUCUAUAAUGUUCUUGAAUGGAUUCUGAUCCUUCUUCUCAACUCUUUUUUCUCUUUAUCUUCUGUCUGAAACCCACAUUGCGAAGAUUUCAAAACUUGGAUGCUAUUCAAAUCAUCGAAAAUUGGUUGAAUUACAAGAUAUAUGUGAGGAUUGCUCAUCCUCAUCGCGACUUUGAUUAUUGUGAAUUAUCAAAGAUUGCUUUCAUUCCAUGAUUCAGGGUGAUGAUGAGAAGAUUGUGGAAAAGGGGGAAGUAAAUUUGAGGUGUUUCUAUUGUGAUGUUAACUUAAACGGAAAAUUCCACUAUCUUUAUUUUCUGAUCAAACCCUCUUAGGGGGUUUUGGAUUAUACCCAGAAAAGGAAUUUGGUAAUAGAAACUGGGAUUGAUGAUGGCAUUUAUAGAAGCAAAUCGGAUUUUGCAACUGAUUGAUGCGAGGAAGAUGAGGGGACUAAUGGAAACAAAAGAAAUAAGAUACUCUCUAAUGUUGAUGGAAGUUCUGGAACAAGAGAAGAUGAGGCAGAGGAGGAUUAUUUCACAGGUGACAACAGGGAAUGUGAGAACAAAGGAUUGGAAACAUGGAAAUAGCUCCUUUUGUUCUCUAAACAGUGGAAAAACAAAGGAAACAUGUUUUUUGGUUAUCAAAAAAGAAACAUUUUGGAAACACGGGAAAUAAUGUAAACAAUAAGUGAUCAAAGUUCCAAACGAGGUUUUGGUGUUUUUGGUUCUCAAAAACAAAAAAACAGUUCUCAAAAACAAUCACAAAUGCAAGAAAAUAUUGGCCCAAGCGAAAGCCCACAAGCAAACAGUCCAUCCUCAACCGUAUUCAGGAAAUGAAUUCUUAAUACAGAUAGUUUUUUGAACUAGAUUUAAAGUAGGCAACUUACCUGGAACACGCCUAGAUUUAAAGAAGAGUAAAAGCUAGCAUCCAGCACACAAAAAAAUAAAUAAAUAAAUAAAAUAAAAAAUUGAGACAUUACUCCCAGAAUUUAGAAUCUAUGGAUCUUAAUCCCACAUGGACACCGAGAGCCCCAAACAAUAAACCAAAAAGCCAACAAUCAGCAAUCCAAAUGAAAAUGGAACCAAAAAACUCUAAGUUAAAGAUAUAGAGAACCCCCUUUCAAUUAGAGGCCUCAUUUCAACAGAGUCGACCCUAGCCAAAGUGAGCCAAAACAGAGAACUUGAGGAUCUCGUUUCCUCCUAAUCUAACCAGAUGAUCCGAAAAUUUCUUGAGCAAACGUGAUAUCGUCCUUCGAAACGACGUGGAUAGUGUUCGCCAUUCUAACCGGAUUCGUUUUCGUAGUAGCAUUCUUCCUCCUCAUUUUGCUAUAAGGCUUCCUCCUCAGAAAGCCUAUAGCAAAAUGCUGUAGAUUGGAAAAUAAUUCCAAUUCUACGGCACUUUUUUAACACAUAGGAUGAGGGAGGGAAAAAAAUAGUAUUUUAUAAUUGAAAAGAAGUGCAAACCCAUUUCCCCACCACCCGUUUUCGUGAAAUUUAAAUCCAAUGGCACAAAAGCAAAGAGACCCCUAGAACAUAUCCAGAAAACACAGGAAGCAGAAAAAAAAAAAAAGCAAUUUUUUUUAUUUUCCGGAGGGUUUUGCAUGGAUUUUCUCGGAAAUCAAACGAGGAUGAAUUUUCCCGGAAAUCGAAUGGGGGAUGGAUUUUCUUGGGAAUCAAACGGGGGUUGCAAAAAAUAAUAAUAAUAGUAUGAUUAGAUUAGUACCUGCGAGGAUUGAGAGCAGAGGAAAAUAGGGCCUUUUUUCGGGAUUCUCUCGUCUGGAGGGCAACCUCGGAAAAGGGCUUCUUGAUGCCCGAGUGAGAGAGAUUUGACUUAGGUUCAAUCCUUGGCUACCAUUGAAUUAUGAUGCUCUUUGAUAUAUUCAAUUUAAAUUUGUUAAGGUUCAUCAUUAAAAAAAACUUAAUUUUAAUUAUUUUAUUUUAAAUUAUAUUUAAUUGAUUAAUAAAAAAUAUAAAAAUUAAUAUUAUAAUUUUUUUAACAAGUCUUUUUUAUAUUAUUUUUAUGAUAAUUAAAUAUAAAAAAUAUAAAUAUUAAAAAAAAUCAUAUAUGUAUCAUGAUAAGAUAAUCUUUUAGGUAGUAGUAUCUUAUUGAAGUUGUUGGCUUUAAUUAUUUUCCUAGUCUUUCUGCUUCUAGGUGAAGGUUUCUUUGAUUAUCAUUAUUUGGUUUUAUUUAAUUAAUUAAUUUUAAAUUUUCAUUAUCAAAUGAUGGAAUAUAUAUUUCGUUUUUUGUUGCUUUCUUUUGGUAAGGAUGACGCUAUGAAUCAUGGCAAUUAGUUGUGGAAUUUUUUUUUCCCUAGAUGAUGAUAAUUUUUAAAAUAUGGUCUUUAAUAGUUUUAGUUGUUCAUUUGGAAGUAUUAGACAACCUAUUUUUAUUUUAUAUCUAGUAAUGUUUUUUCAUCCAUUACUCGAUUAUGAGGUGUACGAAUUAGAGGGGGAGGGGCUCAUACGAGAGGGACUAGGCAUACAUCUGUUCUUAGAGAUGCACCAUCAACUAACAUUAGCCCGCCACCUGUUGAGGAGACUUCUAUUACACCUAUAGAGGUGUCAUGCACCCCACCUGUAGUACCACUUGUUGCAUCAUCACCACAACCGAUAGAGGCUAUAUUGGUUGAUGAAGAGUUAGUUCAUAUAGCAAAUGAUGAUCAGUAAAGAUAAAAGAAUGAUCGUGGUCGAGGACGUGGUAGGAGAUGUGGUUGUUGAGCUCAUGGAGGGGUACAUAUUAGCCCCAUAGAGCCAAUAGUGGAACAUGCAUAUCAUGGACGUCCACAACAAAAAAGGAAGGCUCCUUCGUGCAAUACGCAUUGAAGAUGUUACUAUAUAUGACUUAUAUUUUGGAUGUUGUAAGUAUUUUGUAUAUCAUUAUUUUAAACAAAUACUCGAGAUGUAUAUUUAUACUUGUUAUGUUUUGGAUUAACUAACUUUUUAUUAACGUAAGUUCUAUAGUAUUUUUAUCUAUUUUGAACUUAUUUAACACAAAAUAGUAUUGUUACUAAGGUGUUUCUUGAAAAAACAUUUUUAGCAUAAAUUCGAAAUUUUUAACUGUAUAUGAAAAUUGUGGAAAUUGUCUAAUUCAAAAAACACAUAAUAUUUUUUUUUUUUAAUUAUGGAUUUAGUAUAAAUCCAAUUUUUUGGGGAUUGCAGGUGUCUUUCAAGAGACACCUUCAAUAUAAAAUCAAUACAAAUUAAAAUUUGUGAAAUUAUGGAAUCAAAACUUUAGUACAUACUGGAUUUUAUAGAAUUGUGAAAAGUGUCUCUUGAAGAAACACCUUCAGUAUAAAUCUAAUUUUGUUGGAAUUGUAGAAUGUGUCUUUUGAAGAGACAUCUUUAAUAUAAAAUCAAAUUUAAGAGACACAUAAUAGUAUAAAUUAAAAUUUGUGAAAUUAUGAAAGGGACACUUUCAAUAUAAAUCCAAUUUGUUGGGAAUAGUAGAAUGUUUUUUUUUCAAAAGACUCCUUUAGUAUAUAUUGGAUUCUAUGGAAUUGUAGAAGGUCUCUUGAAGACACACCUUUAGUAUAAAUCAUUUUUUUUUGGGGAAUUAUAGAAGGUGUCCUUUAAAGAUUUAAUAUAAAAUCAAAUUUAAGAGACACGUAAUAUAAAUUAAAAUUUGUGAAAUAGUGAAAGGUGUCUCUUGAAAAGACACUUUUAUAUAUAUUGGAAUUUGUGGAAUUAUGGAAAGUGUCUCUUUGAGACACCUUUAGUAUAAAUUAAAAUUUUUUGAAAUUGUAGAAGGUGUCUCUCGAAAAUAAAAUUCAUGAGAAUGUAGUGUAAAUUCAAAUUUGUCAAAUUAUGGAAGAGAUGCCUUUAAUACAUAUUGGAUUUUAUGGAAUUGUGGAAAGUAUAUUUUCAAGAGGCACCUUUAAUAUAAAUCCAAUUUUCUAAAAUAGUAGAAGAUGACUCCUGAAUAGACACCUUUAGUAUAUAUUGAAAUUUGUGGAAUUAUGAAAAGUGUCUCUUUAAGUGAUACUUUUUGUAUAAAUUAAAAUUUUUGGAAUUGUAAAAAAUGUCUUUUUAAGAGACAUUUUUAGCUUGAAAUCAAAUUCAUGAGACAAAUUCAAAUUAAUCAAAUUAUGGACGGUGUCUCUUCGUUGGAUUUUAUAGAAUUUUGAAAAGUAUCUUUUCAAGAGAUAUCUUUAAUAUAAAUUAAAUUUUUUGAAAUUGUAAAAGAAAAUGCACAUUUAGUUUAAAUUCAAUUAUUUUAAAUAUGUAUCAUAAUUUUGAAAAUUAUGAAAGGUGUCUAUUUAAAAGACACCUUUCACAUGACAAAUCUAUUUUAAAAUGUUGCUGCAAAAGUUUAAAAAAACCGCUUCCUAUAGACCUGUAAAUGAUGAAGCCUACUACUCCACCAAAUUAUGACUAUAUAUAUAUAAAAUUAUGGGAGAAUUGUGUUUUGGGCCCAGUUGGGUCUAAAAAUUAACAUUUGGUCCAUAUAACUUCCAUAAUUGAUGGAAAUGAUAUAAGAUGUUAAAAAACCAAUAUAUCUUUCAAAUUUCUAUACAUUACCUUUUAAGGAUAUAAAAUAGUGAUGGACUAAAAUACCCAAUAACCUUUCACAUAAGUUUUUUUUGUCUUUAUUGCACCACUAUUCAUACAACCAUAAUAAUUCUAUUUUAACAAUUUGGAUUUUUUUAUUGUUUUUUUUAAAUUAUAAAUAAUUGAAAAUCAACAUUAUUUUCUAUUUUAAAUUAUAAAUAAAGAAAAAUUAUGUUCAAAAACUAUUUUAAAAAACGCUUUCUAAAAAAUAGUAAUAUGAUUUAUAUUUUUUAUAUUUUCUUUUUGAAAAAACGUUUAAUUAAAAAACGAAAACUAUUUUUAAAAAUAAAAAUUGAAAAUUGUACUAUUUUUUAUAUGAAAAUAAUAAAAAGAAUUAAAUUUUAGUAAUUGAUUAUCCAUUUUUAUUUUUUUCCAUUAGUUAUUUUAAUAAAAAAAAAUAGUAUGUUUACAAUUAAACAAAUAAAUUGAUCAAUUAUGUGUUUUUUGUGGAACUAUCUUUUACAUGAAAAAUAAUUAAAUAACUAAAUUAUAUAUAUUUAUUACUCUUUUUAAUUUUAUUUUCUUUAUUUAUUUUUUGUCUAAUAGAAAAUUUUAAUAUAUCCAUAAUUAACAAAGUAAUAAAUCAAUUGUGCAUAUUUUUAUCUAUUAAAAUAAAUUACUUUCUAAUUUAAAUAAAUAAAAUAAAAUAAGUAAAUAAAUUUGGGGUUAUUUCUAUUUUUUAACAUAUCUUAUAUCAAUAUUUUUAAUGAUUAAAUAAAAUUUUUAUUUUUUAUUUCUUUAAUUCCAAAAAUAAAAUGAAAUAAAUAAAUAAAUUUGGAAUUUUCCAAUUGAUCUUAUAUUCAUAUUUCUCAUGGUUAAAUAAUUUUUUUAUUCUUUUGUCUUUAUUUCCAAAAAUAAAAGGAAAUAAAUAAAUAAACUUGGUUUAAAUAAUAGUUUUUAAGUAAUUUUUUUAUCUUAUUUUUAAUUACAUUUUGCAUUGAAAAUAAAAUAAAAUAACGUUUUAUUUGAGUCACUGUACAAGGUAUUUACACUAAGUGUACAUGACAAAUAUACUAAUUGUACAAGGGUGUACAAGACUAUUAUUUGUGAAGGAUUUUAAGUAAUUUUGAAAAACUUGUUUGUUUAUUUCCCCUAACCGAGGAUAAAUGAAAUUCCUUAUACACAUUGGUUAAGCAUACAUUCAUUUCAUACACUUUAUCUAACUUGUAUAUGGUCAUUUGAAUAGGUACCUCACUUAUGAUGAUUGUAAAACAAAAUUAUAUAAUAAUUUUUCUUCUUUUUUAAAACCAAACCAAUGCAAACAUGGUUAACCAACCUAUUGUUAGAUAUUCAUGAGAUGAUGCAUGAAAUUUGAGUUAUUGUAUAAGGGUAUUACACUAACUGUACAAGACAAAUUUACUAAUUGUACAAGGGUGUACAAUACUACUUUUUGUUAAGAAUUUCAAGUGAUUUUGAAAAACUUUCCCAUUUUUUUCCACUCAAAUAUUUUUUUCCCCACUCAAAUUCUCUCACUCAAGAAUUGUUUCGAAUUUUAUUUUUAAAUUUCAUCAUCAAAUUUUUGUAAUUGCAUAUUUUGUUUUUAUAGUUUUAGCAAUGUUAUUUCUUUCUACUAUUUUUUUUUUUUGUGAAAUUUUAUCCAAAUGAAUCUAUAUUUAAAAUUAUAAUCAUAUUUAUCAAAUUUUUUACUUAGAUUAUCUUUAAUUCUUUUAAUAUAUUUAUACUUGUUUAUUUAAAAAAAAUGAAAAACUAAUUUUUUUUUCUAAACAUGUUCUAUUACCUUUCAAGUAAAAAAAUUAGAUAAGUUUGAAAGUCAAUAAAAAAAAUUAAAUACCACUUUCAAUAAUUUUUAGAUAAACUUUUAUAUAAUAUAUUUUAUUUGAAAUUUAAUUUUUAAAGUUUUACUAAAAAAUUGUACUACAAUUUUCUUGUUGUGAAUCAAAAUACUUUGCAUUAGUCUAUCUAGAUAAAAAAAAUUAUUAAUAUAAUAUUAGAACUUCAUAUCUUAGUUAUUUUUUUCAAUAAAUUUAUCUUUUAAAAAAUUUUAAAAUAAAAACAUUAAAAAUUAAAAAGCUAAAAGGAUAUAUAUAUAUAUAUAAUAGAGUGAAGUGAUAGUCAAUUUAAAUUUUUUUUAAAAUAUGGUUAAUGUAGCAAAUAUAAAAAAUAAUUAAAAAUAAGAGAAAAAUAUAAAUGAAAGGGUAAUAUAAAUUUAAAAUAAAAAAUAAAAAAUAAAACUAAAAGAUAAAUACAAAAAGAUAAAAAAUAUUUGGAUGAAAAAUCCCAAAAUUUUUAUCAUUGCUUAUAAUAAGAGUAAAAAGAUUCAAUAUCUUUAAAAAUGAAAAACAAAAAAACAUUAUUGCUUUUUAUUUGACAUAAAAUAGGAAUAUAGAUUGGAAGAAAAAAAAAGUUAAAAAUGAGUAAUACUUAAUAGGAAUAGAAAAGGGAAAAAAAAACACAAAAAAAUUGAAAUUCACGCUCACUUAUGCCUGUGGAAGAGUUAAGGGUAUUUUAGGGAUUAAUGAAGGAUAAUAUCCUUCAUCUUAAUUUUCAUACUUUGUUUGGGUCUUGGGCUUAAAUAUGCAUGAUAUUUGGACCAAAUGUUAAUUUUUGAACCCAGCUGGGCCCAAAACACAAUUCUCCCUAAAAUUAUCCCUUGGAGUCAACGUGAGUUCGCUUCUCAUUGGAGGGGUCCCGUAAGGUGGGUCCCAAUCGGUGAACCCCACUAUCUUUCUUCCUAAAACAUCCUCAGGUUUUAUUCCUUAUUUUAAUUAAAAAACAAUUUAUAAUAUUUUCAAAAAAUUUAACUUUCAAUCAAAAAAAAUAAUAAUAGUUAAAUAAAGAUAAGUUUUUUUUUUAUGUAAGGUAUGGAAAAAAAUAUUAUUAAUUAUUUGCUAUAUUAAUGAUUUUUUUUUUUAAUAUUUAGCAUAUUGAUGAGUGCCAAAAUGACAAUAUUUAAGAUAAAUAAAGAACAAAAAAAAGGUAAAAGAACCAUAGAAAAGUCUAUUAAAUAAAAAAUACAAGUAAAAUAUAAGUAAAAUAAUGCAUGUCUUACAUAACAAAGGUUUAUUUUAUAUUUACGUAUUAUCUUUUAUUUAUAAUUAUAUUUUAGGUGUCUCACAAGUUUUUUAAUUAUAUUUUAUUUUCUUUACUAAUUUUCACAAGUUUUGCUUCUUUUUUAAUAAUGUCAGUUACAAGCAUCAACCCAUAAAUUUAUAGAUGUCAUUAAAUGAAGUAUAACAUUAUUUCUUAAUAAAAAUCUUUACCUUAUGAAAUAAAAUAUUAUAAAAUUUUAAGUUUUAUUUAGUGUGUUUUACUAUAAGUGAUUUGUCAAAUCUUUUUUAGAGCACGUUUGACAGUAAUUAUAAGAAGUAUUUCUAACAUUUUUAGUACUUGAAAAAUGAAAUUUUCAAAUGUUUUAGAUGUUAGAAAUACUUCCUAAAAUCACUACCAAACAUACUUUAAGUGAAUCAAUUAAGUGAUUUUUGAUUGGUGUUGGUUAAAUCCUUACGUUCCUUUAAUAAUUGAUUAAUUUAAAUAUAAUUAUAUUUAAAUAGGGCAAGCUAUACAAUGAGUGUAGGGAGGCUAAUUAAUCACACAAGAGUGUGAAAAAAUAGGAGAUAAUAAAAUCAACAAUUUAAGGGAGUACUAAUUUGCUUUUAAUGUGUUCGGAAGUAACCAAGUAGGUGCCAUGCAUAGAAUUUGAACAAGAUCAAAGACUUCUCAAACCCUUCCCUGGUAUAAAAUGGAGUCAAGAUUUAUCAGAAUUUUAGUUCAUGUAUAUGAUUGAAUAAUGAGACCUAGUAGACAGCCUUUUUUCUCAUCCUAUUUAUAUACGAGUAAUUGUUUAAUAAAUCUACCAUUUGCCUAGUAUAGUACUUAUACAGCACAUUUUGGCACCCUUUUGUUAAGUAUUGAAUUUAAGGUCUGUUUGGCAUAAUAUUUUGCGUCUUUUUAGUCAGAAAGCAAAACAUGAGUCAUAAGUAGAAGUCGCAACUUGUAUUUGGCUAAUGGAUUAGCAUUUGGAAGAGCUUUUGCCACAAUCUAUAGACUUCAUCUUUAACAGGUUACCCUGACUGACAGUGAGGAGAGUGUGAUCUAAAGAGAAAUUGAAGCUCCAUUUACAAGAAAUUUCAAGAGAAACUCACACCCACCUUUGGAAGGAACUCAAAGGUCCACUGACACCCAAACAGCUUCCAAUUAAUACUUCAAAUUCACAUCAUCAAACAAGACCAUCAACUUCAACAUUCACUAAAGAAAUUAGCUCAAAAAAAUUCAAAAUCCACAAUUCCAAGUCUGCAUUUUUUUAAACUGGGAUUUGAAGGGUUCAACAAAACCUGAAUCCAGUUUGCACAUAUGGCACAUUAACUUUAUUACAAGAUUAAACUGGCCGGAUAAUUGAUAAUUGUCAUUGGCCUUUUGAUUCAGAGAUGGACUGUAAUGGGCUUGUAGUCGAAAACAAUGACUUUCUCCAGGUGGGGCAGGAACAGAUUUGCAAAUUCGACAUGGGCUGGAUGAGACACAUACUCUGCAAUGCCUUCCACGCUCUCAAAGGUUGACUCGAAGACAUGAGUGAAACCUUGAUGCAUGUUCUCAAUGCUCACAUCCUUGCCCCUGUUACAUUACACAAGAUGUCACAAGUUUUAGAGAUUUUGAAGGCAUGGUAACAAGCAGCAUAACCAUUUCGCCAGGCACAACUCAAAGACAUCAGACUCAAACAUGAACCAUCGUAAAUUUCUUCACUUACAUGAAAACAAAAAUGUUAGAAAGGGAUCUAUAGGUUCAACAGAAAUUGUUCUGAUUCUAUGAGCAACUGAUGCCUCAUUAUCAGAUGAGUUCAGGGCAUCUGCUUGGCAAAUUAAUAUUGAAGUUCACUGAGUCAUCAUUGAGGCUUUUUGUUCAUUAUGAAAAUGGAAGCAGUCUCAGUUCUUAUACAAAAAGCAGAUACUGAAGACAAUUUCAUCAUUCAUGUAAGAAAACCUAUGAAAAUCCAAGCAUGUUAUGCAGAUGACCUACUAAGAGUGGGUCGACAAUAUUUCUAUUUUAAGUAUUUUUAGUGAAAGUGUUUUCGUUAGAAAUGUUUUUUAGAGAAUCACUUAUCAAGUGCUUUCCCAAGAAAUACUACAGGUGAUUUUUCAAUUUUGUAAAAAUGUUUUCUAAAUUUUGUCAAAUACUUGAUUUUUUUCCAAAAGUGCUUUUUAAACAAAGUAUUUUCUAAAAACAUGGUCAAAUGGGUUCUAAAUCGUGUUAGACACAGACUCUAAUUCCAUCCAGGUGCUCAAAGGGCAUCUUUCACAUAAAUGAAGCCACAAAAGAAAGAGUGACUUCUAAUCAAACUUUAAGGUUAACUUUCACAUCAAACUUAGAAGUACCGAAACUAUGAUUUGGUAACCUGGUUUUAGUUGUUGUGAAUCUAAACAUGUACAUGAGGUUUUGAUUGCUAAGAAAGCUGGCACCAUCUUGAUGAGAGUUCUCAAGACGUGCUUACUAACUUUAAAAAAAUCACUUUCAGAAAAAAGUCCUGCAGCAUAUAUUGUCAAGCUAAAAGAGGAAUAUUUUGGUUCUAGCUACAUGCCAAAGCACUAAAUUAUCUUCACUUAUUUUCCUUUUAGGCAUGCUAAAAAGCAUUCUAUAGAGUAUAGACAACUGAUAUUUCACCUGUGAAGUUUUUUCAACACAUGAUAUGAUAAUUAUUUGAAAAUUUGGAACUUUCUUCUCAAUAUAGGACCAGAUGUUCCUGAACUUCUAUAAAAUUUUAAAAAAUAUAUAUAUAUACAAAGAAGCACCAACAAACUUUCGGGUUUUCUAAGGUUUAUUCAUAAAUCAAAUGUUGCCCAAUAUGGGAGACCAAGAAGCAAGACUAAACGCCUACUGUGAAACAGCUGCAACUCAUCCUAAUACCCCUUUGGAAACAAUUGUAUUAGGCUCCUUUCAGAAAGCCCACACCACUACAAACAACAAAGAGAGGCACCUCAAGCAUUCACCCUACCGACAUUGUUCAACAAUUUAGAAGGGGAUUCUCAAACCCAACCUAAGUCAAUCAACUUCAUCCGAGUCUUCAAUACAAAAUCUGAAGAAAAACUCCAGCAAAUCCAACAGAUACAUGGAUCCAAUCUAUCCAAGAAUCACCCAUCCACAUAAUUUGAUGAUUUAUGAAAUUUUCCAGGAAUGUGUUUGGAUAAUUUUAUGCUACUUACGAUUUGAAUCAAGCCAAAAAGUGGGUCAGAUUACAUUAAUUAGUAUGUGCAGAGUGUAAAUUUUCAACCCGAUCAACAAAAUUGCUGAUAACCCCCAGAUACUUGCCACAAAUUCUUCUGAUUCCCAAAAAGAAAACACUCAAACAAGUAAAAUCACCAGAUCCAGAAGAUGACACCAUAAAUAAAGAUUGCCAGAGCAUUUGGUAGUGAAACUUAUAGUGGAAAAAUGCCACACAACUCACUCAAUUCCCAAUUAAAACUACUGGGUUGUGCCCAAAACCGGAUCCCCAACAAUACCCAUUUGGCAGAUCACACAAAAAUCCAAGAAAUCCCAAGAAAACAACUGAUAUAGAUUCAAGAGAAUAACAACUCACUCAAAACCGAAUCCCCAACAAUAACCAUUUGGAAGAGCCCAUAAAAGCUAAGAAAUCUCAAGAAAAUGACAAUGAAACAGAGAAAAAUGAAGCAAAAUUAUUGACUCAGAUUGAAGAGAAGUACCAGUGGAAGGCUUUCAUGGGAGGCACCAGAUUGACAAGGUUGGCAUAGCCCUUGAUGAGUUCUUCAAUCUGGUCAGGUGGGGUUGAAUCUUUGAAUUUUGCCAGCAAUACGUGCUUUACCACCCCCUUCGCCUCUUCCAUUCUACUCUCUCUUAGGACUCUUCCCCUUUCUCUGUGCCACCUUGCUUGCUUAUCUAAAAAGCUGUCAGCCAAUCAUCUACAAAGUACUGCAAGAAUGAUUUGAGAUGAAAAUCCAAUUGGAAAAGGUAACCAAUUUUCAUCCUUUAGAAAAAUUUAUCAUUUUUUAUUGCCUUACAUACAAAAAGAUUUCCUUAAUAUACAAAUUAUUUUUUACCUCAAAUUAUUUAUUUGUAUGGAAAUGUUUUUUUAAUAUAAAAAGUGAAUUUUUAACUUUCACUCCAAAUUUGAAGGAUACUCUCAAUUAAUAUUUAUUUUAAUUUUAGAAAAAUUCAAACUAAGAAUAAAAAUAAAAAAUAAAAAAUCAGACAAGUCACGUGAUCAUUUUCAUUGAUAAUAGAAAAAAUGUGACAAAAUGAGCAUUUAUACAAUUUUUUUAACUAAUUGAUAAGUUUUUUUAUUGUAUGCAUGCUUACCAAGGAGUUUAGACUUCACAAGCUACACUUCUUUUUUCAUUGAUUGCUACACUUUCUUGUACACAUUUAUCAAGAACUUGGGGGCCCAGAAUUUGAGAUGGAACGUUUAAACAUUUGGUUUUGCCAUCUAUCUAAUGAAAACCCAUUUGUUUUUCUUUUUAAUGUUUUAUUAUAUUUGGUUCGGAAAAAUAUUAAGAAAAAAAAAGUAUUAAAAUAAUGUUUUUUUUCUAUUUUAUUACGAAAAAUAUGAAAAAAAAAAAAGUUAAAUAUAAUUAAAAUUAAUAAUUUUUUUAUAUAUAUUUAAAUUAUUUAAUAUUUAUAUAAAUGAGUUAAAUCCCAUAAAUGGUUCUAGUUAAUGAAAUGAUCCAUAGAAUCUUCGUUACACCAUCCACCUUUUAGGCUUUGAGCAUUCUCAGACCUUUCCAUUCUUUUCAACCGCAGGAGUUGUACUUCAUUGGAAACGGAAGUGAUUUUGGAUUGGAAGCGGAUAUUCCAACUAUCUUCCAAUUAAUACUCCAAAUUCACAAUAUCAAACAAGACCAUCGACCUCAAAAUUCACUAAAGAAAUUGACUCAAAAAUUCAAAUACCACGACACCAUCCAGUCUGCAUUUUUAUAAGAGAUUAAACUGGCCGGAUAAUUGGUAAUUGUCAUCUGCCUUUUGGUUCAGAGAUGGACUGCAGUGGGCUUGUAGUCCAAAACAAUGACUUUCUCCAGGUGGGGCAGGAACCGAUUUGCA